AAGCUUAGGUUAAACAAAACCAGAGGCCUUCAAAGCCUCAAACAAGAGCACCAAACCCUCCUAGCUUCU
RNAcentral lists this transfer RNA (69 nucleotides) under Cyrtodactylus consobrinus. Its description in RNAcentral is "tRNA-Trp". Lineage: Eukaryota; Metazoa; Chordata; Lepidosauria; Squamata; Gekkonidae. The record is from RNAcentral.